This is a long non-coding RNA of Paramisgurnus dabryanus, 2307 nucleotides long. RefSeq lists it as uncharacterized. The record is from RefSeq and is a predicted model, not a curated record. Lineage: Eukaryota; Metazoa; Chordata; Actinopteri; Cypriniformes; Cobitidae.
CAUAUCUAUGCGUAUGACGAUGCGGACAUGAACAGCAUACUACAGUAUACCGCCACCUACUGUACUGUAGUACAAUAACGUGUAGGAUUGAAUACUGUGCCAAACGCAGUAAAAAAAAAAAUAGCCAUUUAAUUCAUUGUAAAAACAAUGGACAUGCCAGUUCAAGUAACUUGUGGGCUAAAUCACCAAAAUAAGUUUGUAGAUGUGGUUCAAUUAUUUUUAAUGUGCAGCAUAAUGAAUCAGCCUGAAUGCAUGUAGCCUAUGAACAUAUUGUUUAGACUUUAUUUUUAAACCUUUAUCUGGUGUAUGGUUAAACCUUAUGAUGGUAGCAAUUGAAUACAAAUCUUAAACUGAAUCAAAUCUCUUAUAAUAAUACAUAAAAUCUCUGGGACGGUUGGGGGUACAUCAGGGUAACAUUUAAGCAGCUUAAUUUUUUUAAUUCUUUUAUAUAUUUUGAUGUGUAUAUAUAUAUAUUUACUUUCUUUAUUUUGUUUUCUCAGCUUUUAAACAUCUAAACAUGUCCUCCAAAAAGGUUUCCUGUGCUGUUUUGCUCCAUUUUACUGAACAAAAUAAGGCUGAGGUAGCACCAUCCUUGUGGUUAGAGUGAAAGAAUGUGGGUAUUGAGACCAAAAUAAACAAUGUGCCAUUCUGGACAAACAGCUGUGGACAAUAUGCAGUCAGAGUAGCCCAUUUUCUCACACAGACCUGAAGAUAAGAUUUCCAGUUUAAAAGUGAAGAAAAUGAAUCAUUAUUAACAGCAAAUAGGAGUAUUUCUCAGCUGAAAAGCCAGGUGAAACUAUAAGGUCACUAUGAUUCACUUUCAUAUUAUCAUUCUUUUCAGAUUUUUUUCCCUGUGUUUUUUUUUGUUAGAUGAGGAGCAACCAGUAAGAAAAAGCAAAAAGAUGUUUUGAUGUUGCCUGAGGCACCUUAUUUUCCAUUUCAUGCACAAUCACAAAUGCAGCACAUCAAUCAAUUUCUUCCAACCAGCGAAUCAAGAAAUCUUGGAGUGGAGAAUCAUUCUGAAAGUAGACCAAAUCCAGGACAACAUCACAACAGUGGUCGGAAAAAUGCAGCAAGCCAAGCUGACUUUCAAAAGAUGAUUCGUUAUCUGUUUCUUCAGAGGGGAGGCAGUUUGGGAGAUGGGAAUUAGGAGGAUGCUACAGUUACACAGGGCAAAUUUCAGCAGCUCAGUUUCAAACUUGCAACUAACAUUGAGUUAAACUGGUCAGGGUGGAAGACCAGCUGACGUACCAGUUUUGCCAGGUUAAAGGACCAGCUUAAACCAGCUAAGACAGCCAACCAACUUAGCCAAGGUGGUAUAUGCUGGUGGGUCAGCUGGUCUUCCCGCCUGACCAGCUAAGACCAGCUACAAAGUGGCCAAAACCUCUGUAAAACAAUCCUGCUACACCAGCCUGACCAGCUGAAACCAUACUGGGAGUAUUCAUAUUCAUAUCGAUUUGCAUUUACACAUAAAAUAGGUAACAUACAGUACUGUGCAAAGUCUAGGCCACCAUCACCAGCUUUGUUGUUUUAGCUAAAUUUAAAUGUCCAUCCAUAUUUAUUUUUUACUCUUUUUAUUAAGAUACAAACAGAAAAUACAGGAAAUAUGUACACAAAAUUAAAAACAUCAGUCAGUAUUUAGUGUGACUUCUCUUGGCACGAAACACAUCUUGAGCUUUUUUGAGGAGACUGAAGUCAUUCGAUUAGAAUUAGAAAGGAUUAAAUUUUAUUUAUGUGUAAGAGAUCCUGCAGUUGCCUGCUAUUGCUCAAGUUGAAGGUGAGUUUACCCUAAAUACUUUAAACUUCAGCUUAAACUUUUAUACUGUUUUUUAAUACUACAUACACAUUUCCUGUAUUUUCUGGUUGUAUUCUAAUAAAGAGACUGAGAAAUAAACAUAUGAUCACUACACAAUUGCAAAAACAACAAAUCUAAUGGUAGCAUGCAGACUUGCACAGAACUGUAUGUCCACAUUUAGCCACCUUAACUUUGAGUGAACUGUAACAGCAACUAUAAUGCCAUAAACAUUCAAUACUAAGGUAAAAGAGAGUUGUGCAUGCUUUCUAGUUUUAGCACAGAAUUCUGUCUCCCUUUUAAAUGUUUGCUACAGAUUUUUUGCAAGACAUUUUUGUCCAACCUAAAAACAACUUGUACUGACAUAUAUUAAAAUACAUCAGUGCCCUUUGUUUUUUUUUUACAUCAGAUUGCACACAAGUAAUGUUUUAGUAAGGCAUGUUUGUUAAAACUGGUUAUAUUUCAUAAUUAAACUGAGGCAUAGUCCUGGUUUAAGCUCCUUGUCUGGGAAACCA